UACGUAGGUGGCGAGCGUUGUCCGGAUUUACUGGGCGUAAAGGGAGCGUAGGCGGACUUUUAAGUGAGAUGUGAAAUACUCGGGCUCAACUUGAGUGCUGCAUUUCAAACUGGAAGUCUAGAGUGCAGGAGAGGAGAAUGGAAUUCCUAGUGUAGCGGUGAAAUGCGUAGAGAUUAGGAAGAACACCAGUGGCGAAGGCGAUUCUCAGGACUGUAACUGACGCUGAGGCUCGAAAGCGUGGGGAGCAAACAGG
Molecule: ribosomal RNA, 253 nt
Filed under: uncultured bacterium
Lineage: Bacteria
Description: partial 16S ribosomal RNA
Rfam family: Bacterial small subunit ribosomal RNA
Source: RNAcentral